This 577-nucleotide ribosomal RNA is filed under the name uncultured bacterium. Its description in RNAcentral is "bacterial SSU rRNA". It matches the Rfam family "Bacterial small subunit ribosomal RNA", at positions 214 to 783 of the family's 1533-position model. The record is from RNAcentral.
CGCGCGAUUGGAGCGGCCGAUGUCAGAUUAGGUAGUUGGUGGGGUAAAGGCCCACCAAGCCGACGAUCUGUAGCUGGUCUGAGAGGACGACCAGCCACACUGGGACUGAGACACGGCCCAGACUCCUACGGGAGGCAGCAGUGGGGAAUUUUGGACAAUGGGCGCAAGCCUGAUCCAGCCAUGCCGCGUGCGGGAAGAAGGCCUUCGGGUUGUAAACCGCUUUUGUCAGGGAAGAAACGCUCCGGGCUAAUACCCUGGGGUAAUGACGGUACCUGAAGAAUAAGCACCGGCUAACUACGUGCCAGCAGCCGCGGUAAUACGUAGGGUGCAAGCGUUAAUCGGAAUUACUGGGCGUAAAGCGUGCGCAGGCGGUUCUAUAAGACAGAGGUGAAAUCCCCGGGCUCAACCUGGGAACUGCCUUUGUGACUGUAGGGCUAGAGUGCGGCAGAGGGGGAUGGAAUUCCGCGUGUAGCAGUGAAAUGCGUAGAUAUGCGGAGGAACACCGAUGGCGAAGGCAAUCCCCUGGGCCUGCACUGACGCUCAUGCACGAAAGCGUGGGGAGCAAACAGGAUUAGAU